CAGCAGCCACGGUAAUACGAAGGGGGCUAGCGUUGCUCGGAAUCACUGGGCGCAAAGGGUGCGUAGGCGGGUUUCUAAGUCAGGGGUGAAAUCCUGGAGCUCAGCUCCAGAACUGCCCUUGAUACUGGAAGUCUUGAGUAUGGGAGAGGUGAGUGGAACUGCGAGUGUAGAGGUGAAAUUCGUAGAUAUUCGCAAGAACACCAGUGGCGAAGGCGGCUCACUGGCCCAUAACUGACGCUGAGGCACGAAAGCGUGGGGAGCAAACAGGAUUAGAUACCCCUGUAGUCCCUGUCUCUUAUAC
RNAcentral lists this ribosomal RNA (301 nucleotides) under uncultured bacterium. RNAcentral describes it as "partial 16S ribosomal RNA". It matches the Rfam family "Bacterial small subunit ribosomal RNA", at positions 509 to 807 of the family's 1533-position model. The record is from RNAcentral.